This 3909-nucleotide ribosomal RNA is filed under the name Triticum aestivum (bread wheat). RNAcentral describes it as "partial small subunit ribosomal RNA". The record is from RNAcentral. Lineage: Eukaryota; Viridiplantae; Streptophyta; Magnoliopsida; Poales; Poaceae.
AUGGUUAAGCUUGUGCUGCUCAUCCGAGGAGCUGCGCUACUGCUUUGUCUAUUGAUCUCCCAAACAACAUCCACUCCCCAUGUUCAAGUGAGUGCAUCUGGAGCCUGCAUCAGCAGCGAGCGAGAUGCGCUUCUAUCCUUCAAGGCAAGCCUCCUGGAUCCUGCUGGCCGUCUCUCGUCAUGGCAGGGUGAGGAUUGUUGCCAAUGGAAGGGAGUCCGCUGCAGCAACAGAACGGGCCAUCUCAUCAAGCUCAACCUCCGCAACAUCGACAUGGAAAUGGAAGACUACAUGGACAACAUGGGCUACUACAUGUACAACAUGGACUACUACAUGUACGACAUGGGCUACAUCAACAUGUACGACUACAACUACCCGAACAGGAGCAAACCAUUGAGCUUGUCGGCAGGCGAGAUGAGCUCUUCUUUGGCUACUCUACAACACCUGAGGUAUCUUGAUCUGAGCUGGAAUGACUUCAAUGGCACAAGCAUCCCUGUCUUCUUGUCUUCUCUCAAGAACCUAAGGUCUUACAUAGUGGAUCUUGCAUGGUUGCCACGUCUCUCUUUGUUGAGUCAUCUUGACAUGAGCUAUGUGGAUCUUAGCUCUGCAAGGGAUUGGUUUCAGAUGGUUAACAUGCUUCCUUCUCUGAAAGUGCUUCGCUUGUCCGAGUGUGGACUCGAUGGUACUAUAUCUGCUAGUACAUCAAUUUCCAACCUCACACAUCUUGAGGUCCUUGAUGUGUCUGAUAACACCUUGAGAAUACCUUCCCAAUUUGGCAAUCUCUCAAAGUUGCAAUAUCUCGAUGUGAGUUUGAAUUCUUAUCCCAAUGUAGAUCAUGCAUGGUUGUCACGUCUCUCUUCGUUGAGCCAUCUUGACAUGAGUUAUGUGGAUCUUGGUUCUGCGAGGGAUUGGUUUCAGAGUGUUAAUAUGCUUCCUUCUCUUAAAGUUCUUGGCUUGUCCGGUUGUGGACUCAACAGCACCAUGUCUGCUAGUAUAUCACUUUCCAACCUCACACAUCUCGAAGUCCUUGAUAUGUCUGGUAACAACUUCUAUACUUCACUCAAGCAUGCAUGGUUUUGGAAUCUCAAAAGCCUUAAGGAGCUUUACCUCUCCUAUUCCAGCUGGAUAGGGUCUAUUCCUAGUGAUUUGGCAAACAUGACGGCCCUUCAAGUCAUAGAUUUAAGUGGGAAUCAGCUCGUGGGUUUGAUACCAGAAAAACUGGGAAAUUUGUGCAAUUUGACCAGAAUGAGGUUCAGUCGUAACAACAUAGGUUCAAGCAUAGGGGAGUUCAUGAGGCGAUUACCAAAGUGCUCAUGGAAUACAUUGCAGGAAUUUUCGGUGCAGGAUGCAAAUAUGACCGGGAAUCUACCCAGUUGGAUUGGUAACAUGACCAAUCUCAGUGUCCUUCGAGCAUCUCAAAACAUGUUGACUGGCCCUCUACCUGUAGGAGUUGGAACACUGAGUAGUUUGAAAUGGCUGAACCUCAGGAACAAUAACUUCAGUGGUGUGCUCUUGAAAGAACAAUUUUCAAAUUUAGGUAAAUUAGAGCUUUUGGGCCUCAGCCACAAUAACUUCAGCGGUGUGCUAUUGAAAGAACAAUUUGCUGGUUUAGGCAACUUAAAGGUUUUGGAGCUUAGCUACAAUAGCUUCAAUAGUGUGAAAGAACAAUUUGCAAGCUUAGGAAAAUUAGAGCAUUUGGACCUUAGCCACAAUAACUUGAGCGGUGUGCUAUUGAAAGAACAUUUUGCUGGUUUAGGCAACUUAAAGGUUUUGGAUCUCAGCUACAAUAACUUCAACAGUGUGAAAGAACAAUUUGCAAGCUUAGGCAAAUUAGAGAAUUUGAACCUCAGCCACAAUAACUUCAACAGUGUGAAAGAACAUUUUGCAAGUUUCGGAAACUUAAAGCUUUUGGAUCUCAGCUACAACAAAUUCAGUGGUGUGCUCUUCAAUGAAGAUUUUGCAAGUCUAGGUAACAUGGAGCAUUUGGACCUCAGCUAUAAUAACUUCAGUGAUUUUCUCUUGAAAGAACACUCAGAAAGCUCAAGUAAUAUAAAGCAUCUGGAUCUUAGCCAUAAUAAACUAGAUAGUGUGCUCGUGGAGAAGCAUUUUGCAGGCCUAUUGAAUUUAGAGUAUCUGGACUUGUCGUACAAUUCUUUGAGAUUUGCUAUCAACCAAAAAUGGGUUCCAACAUUUAGAUUAAAGGUUGCGAAAUUCCAAUCAUGCAAACUGGGGCCCAUUUUUCCAGAGUGGCUGAAAUGGCAAUCUGAUAUUGAUGUUCUUGUUCUCAGUGAUUCAAAUCUAGAUGAUGUUAUUCCUGAUUGGUUUUGGGUAACAUUUUCCCGAGCUUCAACCUUGCAAGCAUCAGGAAACAAAUUGCGUGGCUCAUUACCGACAAAUCUACAACACAUGUCAGCUGAGUAUAUACAUCUUGGGUCCAAUACGUUGACAGGUCAAGUUCCAAAGUUGCCUAUACAUAUAAGCCGACUGGACCUAUCUUCAAACUCUUUAUCCGGGUCGUUGCCAUCUGAGUUGUAUGCUCCUGCACUCGAAGACUUGAUGCUUGCAAAUAAUCAACUCACAGGCACCAUCCCAUUGUCUAUAUUCCAAUUGACUUUUCUGUAUAGGUUGGACCUAUCAGGAAACCAUUUAGAAGGAGAUAUUAUGCAGUGUUGGAAGGAAUCUGAUGCAAACUCUACAAGUCAAUUUGGUUGGGACUUGUUCAGCUUAGCCCUAAAUAACAACAAUCUGACUGGUCAAUUCCCUAAAUUUCUUGCAAGGUCAUCAAAAUUGAUGUUCCUUGACCUUUCUUACAAUAGGUUAUUUGGAGGAUUGCCAGAAUGGUUGCCAGAAAAAAUCCCACAGUUGAAAAUAUUAAGAGUGAGAUCAAAUAUGUUCAGUGGUCAUAUUCCUCAGAGUUUCACUUCCCUUCGCCAUCUUCACUAUUUGGACAUAGCGCACAACGACAUGUCAGGAAGCAUACCUUGGUCUUUGUCAAACUUGAAGGCAAUGAAGGCAGGGGUUUCACAGGACACAAAGGAUUACUACUAUGAAGAGAGCAUCCCAGUAAUCAUGAAGGACCAAAAGCGUGACUACACCUUCGCGAUCUACAAUCUACUGGUAAUUCUUGAUUUGUCAAGUAAUAGUUUGGCAGGACAAGUUCCAGAGGAGAUAACUCUACUCCUUGGACUUACCAGCCUGAACUUGUCAAAUAAUCAGUUCAUAGGAACGAUCCCAAACCAAGUUGGUGAUUUGAAGCGGUUGGAGUCACUCGACCUAUCCUUCAAUGAGUUUUCUGGUGCAAUACCAUCAAGUUUGUCAGCUUUAACUUAUUUGAGCCACUUGAACUUGUCAUACAACAAUCUGUCCGGUGCAAUACCACCUGGACAACAGCUACAAACUCUUGGCAACCAGAUGUAUAUCUACAUCGGUAACCCUGGUCUUUGUGGAGAUCCGGUUGGCAGGAACUGCUCAACACAUGAUGGAGAGCAAAGUGGCCUCGGAGAUAUAAAUCAUAUGCCAUCCGUUUAUCUUGCCAUGAUUAUGGGAUUUGUGAUGGGUCUGUGGACAGUUUUCUGCACCAUGUUGAUGAAGAGAACAUGGAGGGCUGCCUUCUUCCAGUUUGUUGAUAUGAUGUACGACAUCGUUUAUGUGCAAGUGGCUUGUAUAUGUCUGGGGAUUAUUUAUGCUGAAGUCAGCCAUUGUUCGCUCGUCGAUGUGCACUGCAUGGAGAAAGAUACAGCCCCAUAUGGACAUUUUUUACUCAAGUCACCCAUGCCCACCGAGGGUGUGUUUGCCAGCGAAGUGGAGAAGCUCAAGGCCGACCAGUUCAAGCCCCCGAAGCAGGUGAUCCUGGAGCCCUUUGAGCACGAACACGCCUGCAUCGUUGGUGGUUAUAGGAUGCCCAAAAAGUAA